This is a long non-coding RNA of Rhipicephalus microplus (southern cattle tick), 660 nucleotides long. RefSeq lists it as uncharacterized. Lineage: Eukaryota; Metazoa; Arthropoda; Arachnida; Ixodida; Ixodidae. The record is from RefSeq and is a predicted model, not a curated record.
CAUGGACGCUUGUCACGGCGGAACGUCGCGGUCGAGGACUCGUUAGAAACGACCAUGUUCAACGGUGAUUUGCGACACCAAGACGUGUAUUUGUUGUCCUAUUCGCGCAAAGUGUCGUUAACUUCACUGCUUUAAGUCACAAUUCUAUCGGAGCUUUCCCACCAAGCUGACCAGCGAACAAUUUUUGUGGAUUUCGCUAUCAGGUAGCAAGCAGAAGUGCCCUGACAAACUGUGCGGUGCUAACCACAUGGUGAGCCAAGCAUCCCAUAAGAGGUGCUUAUUCAGCAUCUGUGGCAAACUCAAAGGAAGCACGUUCCAAAAGCAGUGCUACAAGGAUCUGAGCUACAAGUUCUUUUCAACGAACGGAUCAGAUGCCUGAGAGCCACGGGCCGGCUGCUUCUGGCCUACACAGACAGUGCAGCCACCACAGUAAAGUUCUUGCAAAGACAUUCUAUAAAAACUGGCCCAAAGGUGGACAGAAGGCAGUACCGAUGGACACACGAGAAGCCAUCGGGCUGCCUCAGAAACUGUGACUGAGCAUUAACCUAAAGGAGCCAAGUGAAGCUGUUCACGGGCCAUGCAGACAGUUUCAAAAGCGGGCUGUCAGCACUUUUGACACUUAUGUUUAUGAAUACAUCUGCCAAAGUUGUGUUCAAAGAA